Molecule: long non-coding RNA, 896 nt
Filed under: Homo sapiens (human)
Lineage: Eukaryota; Metazoa; Chordata; Mammalia; Primates; Hominidae
Description: HSALNT0152707
Source: RNAcentral
GAAGAUUUUUUUAAAGACAGGCUACAAUAAUUCCCAUGCUGAGAACCACAUGUGAUGACACUUGUGAUGAAGAUGAGGACAGCAAUGAGCUGAGAGACUCCAGCCAGGAUUCACACAUGCGAGGGGAUGCAUGAGAAUGGGGAUGGGACAUUGGUGGUUAGCAUCCUUGCUUGUCUCAGAAUGGACGUGGGUUGUGGAUUUCUAACUCCUGGAGAAACCAGAGUUCUAGGAAUUGUAAGCCACUUUAUGUUAGGAAAGAAAAAGACGGUGUUCUGCUCUCCUGUCCCUUAAAACUGUGCGUACUGCCACUAAACCUGGAAGCUGAGAACAGUAUAAUGGCUACUCCUGACUUCCUUUCAUCAAAUCAGCCUGCUAUUGUUUUCUGCAAUGGUUGUGGUGCAGAAUCUUUUUGUGGUGCAGCCAAGAUUCACACUUGAGUCUCCUUACUGCAAGUUUGCACUCUCACAGUGGAGAGUUAACAAUAAUUGCCUAAUAUGUUACACUUUUUUGGGAAGAGUUACCAGAUAAAGUGCAAGAUCCCAGUGAAAUGUGAAUAGCACAGAUAAAGGACAGAUUUUUUUUGUAAAAGUGUACUGUAAAUGUCAUAUGGAUCAUAAUUAUAGUAAAAACUAAUUCACUGUUUAUCUUCAAUUCAAAUUCCACUUGGUAUUCUUUAUUCAUACUUGCUAAAUCUGGCCACUAUGUUCUUUCAUGUAUUUUUAAUUUUAAAAAACAGUCCAACAUCUCAUUCUAGCAAUUUACCUACAGAAAUAAAGAGAGGAACCACAUUACUGGGACAAAUACAGUCACUGCAAAUAUCAGAAGAAUACUAGAACAUAUUAAUAUAUUAAUUUUUACCCCCAAAAAACUGAAAAUAUUUUUAGACAGCAAAAAUA